AUGGGCAUGUGUGUGGGCAUGCGUGUGUCUGUGUACACAUGGGCAUGUGUGGGGGGGGCAUGCGUGUGUACACAUGGGCCUGUGUGGGCACGUGUGUGUACACAUGGGCAUGUGUGUGCGUGUGUGGGCACGUGUGUCGGUGUACACAUGGGCAUGUGUGUGUGGGCAUGCGUGUGUCUGUGUACACAUGGGCCUGUGUGUGUGUGUGCAUGUGUGUGGACACACGUGUCUGUGUACACAUGGGUCUCUGUGUGUGCAUGUGUGUGGGCACACGUGUCUGUGUACACAUGGGCCUGUGUGUGUGCAUGUGUGUGGGCACACGUGUCUGUGUACACAUGGGCAUGUGUGUGUGCAUGUGUGUGGGCACACGUUUCUGUGUACACAUGGGUCUGUGUGUAUGUGUGUGGGCAUGUGUGUGUACACAUGGGCAUGUGUGUGCAUGUGUGUGGGCACACGUGCCUGUGUACACAUGGGCCUGUGUGUGCAUGUGUGUGGGCACACGUGCCUGUGUACACAUGGGCCUGUGUGUGCAUGUGUGUGGGCACACGUGUCUGUAUGUGUGUGUGGGCAUGUGUGUGUACACAUGGGCCUGUGUGUGUGCGUGGGCACAUGUGUCUGUGUACACAUGGGCCUGUGGGGGGCACACGUGUCUGUACACAUGGGCCUGUGUGUGGGCAUGCGUGUGUGUACACAUGGGCCUGUGUGUGCAUGUCUGUGUACACGUGGGUCUGUGGGGGGGCAUGCGUGUGUGUACACAUGGGCCUGUGUGUGUGUGCGUGGGCACAUGUGUCUGUGUACACAUGGGCAUAUGUGUGCAUGUGUGUGGGCACACAUGUCUGUGUACAUAUGGGUCUCUGUGUGUGUGCGUGUGUGUGGGCACACGUGUCUGUGUACACAUGGGUCUGUGUGUGUACACAUGGGCCUGUGUGUGCAUGUGCGUGGGCACACUUGUCUGUGUACUCAUGGGCCUGUGUGCGUGUGUGUGAGGCUGCUGUGCUGGAUGAAGAGAGAAUUCAGGGUCCCGGCAGCCACAGGUGUGGGACCACAGAGGGUUCUGGACGUCUGGGGCACAGCUGGGGGACAGGUGACUACGGCCUGGGCGUUAGAACCACGUGCACACAGAAAGGUGGCCGAUAA
Oryctolagus cuniculus (rabbit) is the source of this 1137-nucleotide long non-coding RNA. The record is from Ensembl. Lineage: Eukaryota; Metazoa; Chordata; Mammalia; Lagomorpha; Leporidae.